Molecule: non-coding RNA, 1291 nt
Organism: Nematostella vectensis (starlet sea anemone)
Lineage: Eukaryota; Metazoa; Cnidaria; Anthozoa; Actiniaria; Edwardsiidae
Source: Rfam
GAGGAAAAGAAACUAACAAGGAUUCCCCUAGUAAUGGCGAAUGAAGCGGGAACAGCUCAAAUUUAAAAUCUCCGUUGCUUGCAACGGCGAAUUGUAGUUUCGAGAAGCACUUUCUCGGCGGAUCCGAGGUCGUCCAAGUUGCUUGGAACAGCACGUCGUAUAGGGUGACAACCCCGUCUGCGGCGAUCUCGGCCGUUCACGAUGUGCUUUCGACGAGUCGGGUUGUUUGGGAAUGCAGCCCAAAAUGGGUGGUAAACUCCAUCUAAAGCUAAAUAUUGGCACGAGACCGAUAGCGAACAAGUACCGUGAGGGAAAGAUGAAAAGCACUUUGAAAAGAGAGUUAAAAAGUAAGUGAAACCGUUAAAAGGGAAACGAAUGGGGUUAGCAAUGCGUCGUGCGAGAUUCAGCCGGUGGGUGGGCCAGGCGGGCGGUUGGCGGAUCUGAAUGGACCGCUGCCGUUCGGGUUGGUUUCCCGACCGUCGCACUUCUCGCAGGCGCGCGCCAACGUCGGUUAGGGCUGGGUCUCAAAGGCGGUGGAAAGGUAGGUUUGGACUCUCAGGCCCGAACUGUUACAGUCCUCCGUUUGUCAUGGCCCGGACCUGACCGAGGAGCUUGCGGUGCAUGCCGUUCGGCUAGGGUCCCGUCUUCCCGGUCGGUCGUCGAAUGCGGUGGACUUCGUGCAGUGCGCCGCGACUGCUGCCGGUCGCGAGGGCGGUGAUUUCGUACUAUGUACCCACGACGUUGGCGGUCAUAUGGCCUCAUCCGACCCGUCUUGAAACACGGACCAAGGAGUCUAACAUGUGUGCGAGUCUUUGAGUGACCGAAACUCCGAGGCGUAAUGAAAGUGAAGGCGACUUCGGUCGCUGAGGUGAGAGCCUUUUUCCAAAAAAAGAAGGCGCAUCAUUGACCGACCUAUUCUACUCUUAGAAAGGUUUGAGUAAGAGCGCAUCUGUUGGGACCCGAAAGAUGGUGAACUAUGCCUGAAUAGGGUGAAGCCAGAGGAAACUCUGGUGGAGGCUCGUAGCGAUUCUGACGUGCAAAUCGAUCGUCAAAUUUGGGUAUAGGGGCGAAAGACUAAUCGAACUGUCUAGUAGCUGGUUCCCUCCGAAGUUUCCCUCAGGAUAGCUGGAACUUACGGCAGUUUUAUUAAGUAAAGCGAAUGAUUAGAGGUCUUAGGGUUAAAACAACCUUAACCUAUUCUCAAACUUUAAAUUGGUAAGAAGUCCGACUUGCUUAAUUGAAGCCGGACAGUGAAUGCGAGUUCCUAGUGAGCCAUUUUUGGUAAGCAGAA